GACGAACGCUGGCGGCGUGCUUAACACAUGCAAGUCGAACGGAAAGGCCCUGCUUUUGUGGGGUGCUCGAGUGGCGAACGGGUGAGUAACACGUGAGUAACCUGCCCUUGACUUUGGGAUAACUUCAGGAAACUGGGGAUAAUACAGGAGAGGAGCUCGUGAUGCAUGGUGGGGGUUGGAAAGCUUCGGCGGUUGGGGAUGGACUCGCGGCUUAUCAGCUUGUUGGUGGGGUAGUGGCUUACCAAGGCUUUGACGGGUAGCCGGCCUGAGAGGGUGACCGGCCACAUUGGGACUGAGAUACGGCCCAGACUCCUACGGGAGGCAGCAGUGGGGAAUAUUGCACAAUGGGCGGAAGCCUGAUGCAGCAACGCCGCGUGCGGGAUGACGGCCUUCGGGUUGUAAACCGCUUUCGCCUGUGACGAAGCGUGAGUGACGGUAAUGGGUAAAGAAGCACCGGCUAACUACGUG
This 468-nucleotide ribosomal RNA is filed under the name uncultured bacterium. Its description in RNAcentral is "partial 16S ribosomal RNA". It matches the Rfam family "Bacterial small subunit ribosomal RNA", at positions 28 to 507 of the family's 1533-position model. The record is from RNAcentral.